RNAcentral lists this long non-coding RNA (2525 nucleotides) under Homo sapiens (human). Its description in RNAcentral is "non-protein coding lnc-TTC33-5:6". The record is from RNAcentral. Lineage: Eukaryota; Metazoa; Chordata; Mammalia; Primates; Hominidae.
GCCCAGACUGCGGGCUGCGCUUGGUCGGGCACCCCAGGCAAAAAAGAAAAAAAAAAAAGAGAAAGAAAGAGGAGGAGACAGUGAUUGCAGCCUCUCCCGGCGCAGGUGGCAGAGCCUUGCGGCUUUGGAGAGAGGUGGAGCCUUGGUGAGGUUGGGAGGACUGCCUAACUGCGAUCUUUUUCUCCAUUCUUCCUCCUGGGAACUUCUCCGCCCUGAAAGGGUAGCGUGAGCUUCAUGCCUUCGGCCGGCCGUGUUAUACUCGUUAGACCCAAUUCACCAUGAAUCCUUUGAAAGACUAGUGGAGAGUGAGAAGGGGGUUUCAAAGUCACUGGAGUAAAGGAAUUCUCCAAGCACCACCUCAUGAUUAAUUCUUGGAAAAGCCUGUUUGCGCGGCCCUUAGAAUCAUUUUGACUUCUUGUCUAAUGGUGAAGUUUUUCUCUGUAAUCCUUCUACUCUGUUUUCUAAAACCAGAACUAAAAACCUAAAAAAUUGUAAAACUUCAUGGUGUAAUUAAAACCCCUUCACCAUUUUUUUUAAGUAAGAUUGUGUGGCCUUAUUGCACAAUUUAAAUUCCUGGAAAAACCUCUUCCCAUCUGCAGUGUACAAGCAUUCUAACAUAUUAUGUCUCCUCACAGGGGGUUCUCCACACUGGCUGAACACCAGAAUCAACUGGGAGAAUUUUCUUGAAAACACUAACGCCUAGGCCCUACACAGAUCAAUUAAACCAGAAUCUCUGGACACAGGUGUGUUUAAAAAGUUCCCAGGAGCCAUCGAGUUUGGGAAUCACUGGGCUAGAGUCAAACCAAAACUCAACUUCCUGGCCUUAUUUUAGAUGUUACUUUUUUGUUUCACUUCCAUUGGGCAUGCCAUUCCUCUCUCUUUUCUGUCAGCGUCCCUCAUUAUCUUCAGAAGACAGUUGCAAAGAUGCCUUUCCAGGGAACUUUGUAUUAUUUACACCCUAGAUUAUGCUCCCUGUUUUGUGUGGUGCCUUUCUUACUCUUACUCAUUACUUUUCCGUUUGGAUUUAUUGGACAAGUGAAAUUCACAAAAGCUUCUUUCUUUUUUUUUCAAGACAGUGUCUCGCUCUGUCACCCAGGCUGGAGUGCAGUUGCGUGAUCUCAGCUCACUGCAACCUCCACCUCUCGGGUUCAAGCGAUUCUCCCACCUCAGCCUCCAGAAUAGCUGGGAUUACAGCUGCGCACACCACGCCCAGCUAAUUUGUGUAUUUUUUGUAGAGACGGGGGUUUCACCAUGUUGCCCAGGCUAGUCUCUAACUCCUGGGGUCAAGUGAUCCGCCCACCUCGGCUUCCCAAAGUGCUGGGAUUACAGGCGUGAGCCAUCACGCCAGGAUCGCAAAAGCUUUCUUAUUUCCUUUGCGUUAUGUUUCCCAAAUUAGUGUGUAAGUUUCUUGUGGAAGAGAUAAAAUGUUCUUUAUUAAAUUUUUUUUUUGUGCUUCUGACCAUAGUGGGCACGCAACUAAUGUUCGUGGACAACUGACUCAUUUCUGGUAAACUGAUUUCUUCCUCCAACUUACUAGUAUUAGCAGCUGUAGGAUAUCAGAAUGAAUUAUGACUGUCUUUAUCUUAACUUGACUUCCUAACUCCAAAUUUUAACCUUUCGUCAUCAGUUCCUUAGAAUUUAACUUUCCUUCUUUUCUACUAGUCCAAAUGAAAUAUUUUAAAAUUUCUUAUCUUUAGGCAGUUUUUUGGAAAUUACCUACAUUAGUUAAACCCAGAUGUAAUAAAAGCUACAGCACUGAACUAUACUCUUCUAAACUUCUUGAAGGACAAUGCCAUAUUUGUGUUCCAGGCACAUAGACAAAUAUCUGGUGUAUAGUAGGUGCUCAAUAAAGAUUGGUUGAAUUAAUUGAAUUAAUUCUUUGGUUAAAUUAAGAUUCAUUAGCAGAGAAACUCUGAAUGUAUCUAUCAGGCAAAUCAUUCUGGAAUCAGAUGCAUUUUGAAUAGCAGUAUUUCUCUGCAUUUACCUUUUUAUUAUUCACAAGCUCUGGGAAUCUAACUUUGCUUUUUUAUAUCACUGAGCCUCCCUUAGCUCUUUACUUUGUUGGCAUCCUUUGGAAUUUUGUGUUGGCUCAUUGAGGUCAUUGAUCUGUCUGGCUGUCUGUGGAUUUAUGAAUAACACCAUACUUGAACAGCACCAUUCUAAAUUAUUGCAUACAAUGCACUUAAUUUUGUCCUGAAUCUCAUUAGAGAAAACAAGGAAAAUAUUAUAAAGUAAAAUAAUACAAAUAUUGGUCAGUGUAUUUUACUCAAAGGCAAUCACUGGGAAUUUGUUUGUGUAUUUCCUGCCAAUCUUUUUUAAUGCAUUUUUAAGAAAGCAUGAUAAUGUCUAAAAUUCAACUGUUUAUUUAAUUUUGUAUUUUGGUGUAAUCCUUUAAUAUUGUAACCUAAGUGUUUUCCAAUAUUCUAUAAACUCUUUGUUAAGUUUUACUUAAUGAAUAUAUUGUAUACUGCAGUAUUGUAAAAUGAAUUUGCAAAAAUUUCAAUAAACAAUUUUCUCAUUGUUGA